Molecule: ribosomal RNA, 484 nt
Filed under: uncultured bacterium
Lineage: Bacteria
Description: partial 16S ribosomal RNA
Rfam family: Bacterial small subunit ribosomal RNA
Source: RNAcentral
AUUGAACGCUGGCGGCAGGCCUAACACAUGCAAGUCGAGCGGAUGAAGGGAGCUUGCUCCUGGAUUCAGCGGCGGACGGGUGAGUAAUGCCUAGGAAUCUGCCUGGUAGUGGGGGAUAACGUCCGGAAACGGGCGCUAAUACCGCAUACGUCCUGAGGGAGAAAGUGGGGGAUCUUCGGACCUCACGCUAUCAGAUGAGCCUAGGUCGGAUUAGCUAGUUGGUGGGGUAAAGGCCUACCAAGGCGACGAUCCGUAACUGGUCUGAGAGGAUGAUCAGUCACACUGGAACUGAGACACGGUCCAGACUCCUACGGGAGGCAGCAGUGGGGAAUAUUGGACAAUGGGCGAAAGCCUGAUCCAGCCAUGCCGCGUGUGUGAAGAAGGUCUUCGGAUUGUAAAGCACUUUAAGUUGGGAGGAAGGGCAGUAAGUUAAUACCUUGCUGUUUUGACGUUACCAACAGAAAUAGCACCGGCUAACUUCGUG